RNAcentral lists this long non-coding RNA (3998 nucleotides) under Daphnia magna. RNAcentral describes it as "uncharacterized LOC116917456, transcript variant X3". The record is from RNAcentral. Lineage: Eukaryota; Metazoa; Arthropoda; Branchiopoda; Diplostraca; Daphniidae.
CCCAUCUUUUUUUAUUUUUACAUUUUGAGGGGCUAUGUUUUUAACGACCGAUUUUUACUGGUCGUGUUGAGUUGCGGGUGUUUUUUUUUUCGUUUAGUUAGCCGAGCCUAACAGCGUCUUUUCUUCCUCGGUGCUGUUAUCUUCGUUUUGUGUACAGCUUGCCACCGAGCAGCGUUUGACUCUUGUGUCAAACCCAAAUGGAGCUAUAUAACCUACCCUCCAAAGAAGAGAAAAACACACACAAAACAACUCUGAAUACCUUUUUUUUUUUUUGUUGAGUUGUAAAGCCUUUUAUUUUUUUGCGGAAAACCAAGAAGACAUACACGCAAAUGUUCUUCUUUUCGUAUAGAAAUAUUAGGAUUUCUUCGUGGGGCUUUCCGCACGAAAAAUCAACAAAAAAGGCUCUGUUUUCUUUUGGGUGGCUUUUUUUUUUAACACACGAGGAACGAGAAUAUACAUAAGAGCGAGAAAAGAAAAAUCAGGAUGUGUGUUGAAUCUAGACACACACGCAACGAAGCCGAGAAGACUUGACGAUAAGACGUUUCGGUGGGACGAUGGAGAGAGAACAAAUAGACGACGAAGAGAAAGGCAAGUAACCUCAGAGACCACGUUGGGGUUUGAGGUCGUUAAAAAAAAGGAAAAAAAACAACUCUAAACACGAGGAAAGGAAAAAAAAGAAAAGAGGCACAGAGAGAGAGAGAAGGGCGACAUUAAAAAACACCUAUACGCCAUCGAGAAAAAGAACUUGCGGCGUAAUGUGGUAUGAUGAUGUGCUUCUGCUGCUGUUAAAAACUUGUUGCUGCCGUAGGUGCGGGCGCCGCAGGUCAACUCAACUACCUUUACCUUCUAUCGCUUUGGCUCUGCGAGCGGUGGCGGUCGUAUACGAUAAUGGCAAUAAUUGACUUUUAAUGACGCUGAAAAAAGGAAAAAAAAAAGGGAAUGAGGCUCCUUUUUUUUUCUACUUUACUUCUUACAUUUAUUUAAAAAAAAACUGAAAUAAAAUAUUUAGUUGCGCACGUUCCCGAUCCUUUUGGCCAUUUCACCUUUGGAAAACUAUUAGACUUUUUGCGUUAACACUCUGCGUUUUUUUUUUUAAUUCGGAUUCUAAAUGUACCAUCUCCAUUUUAGUUUUUUUUUUUCGUGUCGCAAAGGUAAAAAUAGAUUUUAGAUUUUAUUUUUUUUUUUUACAUUUUUAAAGCGUCAUUUUAAACGGAGCGGCAACAGGUCACCGAUUGUUCUGUUUGUGUUUUGCCUACAUGACAAGUGCUUCGAGAGAGAACUUGUGAUGAGGUUCGAGAAAGUUGACGUCGUCGUGCUAUGUAUGCGUGGCCCGCUUGUCCCUCUGCCCGUCUGUGUUUGCAUGACUAUUUGGUUAUGAAAUCUUCGCCCAAAAAAGAAGAAGAAAACCAAAAAAAAAAAAAAACAGUUCGGCUCUCUCCUUUUUUUUUUCUUCCUCCCCUCACCGUCUUGUUUAUACAAGAGAGUCACCUUUAUUUUUAUUUUUUUAUAUUUUCCUUGAAAAAAGAUUUUGGACAGAGAAAGAAAAAUGGAGACGACGUGGCACACAGAACACACAAGACAAAGGGAAAGUAUAUUUUAUUUGAAAGGAAGAUCUUGUUGGGAGUAAAAGAAAAAGAGAUUAAAAACACCGAAAAAGCCACCACCAGUGCGCACACACACGAGGUUGAUUUUCCAGCACAGCAGGAUGUCCUUUGCCUGCGUUGGAAGAUUUUUCUCCGACGUAACUACACAGUGCCCCCAUCAUCUUUUUUUUUUUUUUUCAUUCCUUUUCCCUGUUCUGUUUCUUUUCCCUUUUUUUUUUUUUUAUUAUUAUUAUCUGGGAUACCAACCCAAAAUCCAAUCAUUCAUUUUCUCGUUCGCAAUCAAGAGCCGCAAGGAAAUGUUUCUAAAUAUAGACACACACACAAAAGAAAGAAAUUUUCGUUCGAACAAAGACAAAAUAAAAAAGUUGGAAAUCGAAUCGUUUUCUCAUUUUUUUUUAUGGAAUAUCGAAACAAAAGACGAGCUAUUUUUUUUUUGCUUCAAGUGCACCAGGUAAAUGGCCUACGUGUAGGAUUUGGGUGGGGGAGAAAGUCACGGAGAAAGAAAAAAGGGGGAAACUUUUUUAUAAAGAUUGUUAUUAAAUUAAAUUAGACUGUAGUUUUGAAAUGGCGAAUAACAAUUUUUUAGAACAAUAAAAAUGAAGGAUUGUGGGCGGCACGGAUUGCCUCCGCAAAACAUUGCCAAAUUGUUCCGAUAUUGUUCGCCGUUAUAGAAAAACACGUGAUUGGAUUUCUUCCCUCCAUCUCCUCCUCAAGUAACCCCUUUAUCUUUUUUUUUUCAAAGAGAUAAAAGAAAAUCCUACAUUUUUUUGUUUUUAACCCCCUCCCACCUUUUUUUUUUUCGACGAUGGCCAAAUUAUAUAGCCGGAGUAGGUUGGUUACAUUUCUGCACUGGAUGAGCGAGAGAGAGAGAGGUCUGGGGUAGUGCAGGUGCGGCAUAUAAAGAUGGGACAGCAAUGGGAGUGUUUCGGUACAAGUAACGCCCCCCGGGAACUUGAAAAAAACAGAACACAGUAUUUUUCUUUAGUGCUGCUGGUGAUCCAGAACCUGCAAAUUAUUGGCAAUCGUUCAACUUAAAAAAAAAAAAAAAAUGCUUGUCUAACCAUGGGGGAUGGGAGUGCAAGUUUUGGUUAAGGGCAUCGGUGCAAGAAAACUAAAAAAAAGGGGAGCAAAAUAGGAUGGAUCUUAUACCUUCUUGCGGGACCCCCAAAAAGAUUGCGCUGAUAGUGUGAACCUCCUUUGGAAAACUGAAUAAAAAAAGCGGCCAGAGAAAGUUAUGAUCGGUCAUUUCGUUGGAGGCGACAAGGAACAUUGUAACUAGGCAAAUAACAACCAACCAACAACACGACACUGUAAUAACGAAGGACAAGCGGCUUCGAUUCACACAACCCGGCGCCACCAAUGCCAAACAAGAAAAUUACUAAUAAAAAGGAUUAUUUUCUUCUGAUAUCGAAGUCUCUUCUUUCUGCUCGGCUGUAUGUCUACGUCCCAUGUAUCGUAUGUAAAAUAUCUGCGUUCAUUGUUGCGCGGGGGUGGCCGUAUACCAAGAGAAAGGGGAGCGUGACACCCGCAAAGAGGGCUGCGUGAAACUCGAGACACACGCGCGAGCGAAGAGAAAAUAUGCAGGCAAAACUUGAAAUGAAAGAGAAAAAAGAAAAUGCCUCUCACGAUGUUUCCGUUCACUUCACACAAUCGCCCGCCGGAGCCUAUAAACGGGCAGCGAUUAUUGGGUUACACUGUGAGCGGCGUUCUAGUGCGUCGGCGAGAUCCAUAGGAACGUGAACGACGAUCGGUAUACCAUCGGCACGCCUCUCUAAAAAGUCUACCAGACGCAGACCGCACGCAGGAGCAGCAGCAAAAAAAAUGUAAAUGAGCCCAUUACGUAAAUUGGCUGUUCAAAAAGUCUCUCACAGCCCAUCUGAUUUUUUGUUGUUGUUGUUGAUUUUUUAUUUAUUUGACUUUGCGGGCGCGUGUUUCGUGGCCGGCGCAAAUUGGGAACAAACCGGAGGAAGUGACGUCAUCUCUGCGUAAUCGUAUAUUUAAAAAAAAAAAAGAAAAGAAAAACGCGUAGUACAGUGAAAACAUAUUCAAAGGCGGACUCCUCCAAUUCCCACGUCCGGAAUGUCUUCCAGCCGCGUCAAUCACGAAUCGUAGCAGCACAAAGAUACCAAUUAGUCUCCGCCCUUUACGUCUAUGUAUAUCCGUUCCUCCUCUUUUUACCAAUGUUGGAAAAUUCUGAAAGGGCUUCGGUCAUCAUUCAUAGACAUUUUUUUGUUUAAUGUUCACGUAUAGGAAUCGAGUGAGGAAGAGAGAGGACGUCCUAAUUAUAUAGACAUGUGGUAAUGUCAUAAUAUUCCUGAUUUUGACUUCCUUUCAUGUAGCAUACUGUUUUUGAAUAAAAUAAACGCUGGCUGUCUGAUUCAUUUCCUCCAUUUA